AAUACGAAAUGAAAGCUGGGCCUGGAAGGCUGGAAGGGCUCUUGGGCUUCGUGGGACCCGGAGUGCCACCUGCUGGCCGUGGUCUGCAAUGACAUCCACCACCCCUUCCUCUGACAGCAUGGACUUCCCGCUUGUAAACCCAAAAUAGGCUCCCUCUUUUUCUUCCAUGCGUUGAUAUCUCUCUCAAGAGCUUCCCAGACAUCUUUGCUCCCCUAGAGCAUUACAAAGUUGCUAGCACACAGGAGUAGUUUAAUAAAUAUUUUUUGAAUGAAUGAAUGAAUGAAAGGAUGGAUAGAUGGAUGGAUGAUGGAUGAUGGACGGAUGGAUGGACAAAAGGACGGAAGGGCAGUCUUGUGCGUCAUUGUGAAAUGAGAGAAUAAUCUCUGCCCUUCCCAUCUCACAGGCUUUUUUUGCAUUUUUUUUGUUUUCUCUUCUCUCGCUUUUGAUAAAAAUGAUGAUUUGAUACACAUAAACAUAGUGAAAUGAUUAUUAUUUGAGCUAACAUGCUAUCUCCUCAUAUAGUCAUUUUUUGUGAUGAAAGCUCUUGAAUUCUACUCUUCGCAUAUUUCCAGUAACUAUACAGUAUUAUUAACCACAGCCAUCGGGCUGGACACUAGCUCUCUAGACUUAAGUCACCCUACAUAACCACACUUCCGCCCCCUUUGACCUCAUCUCUCCACUCCCCCACCUCCCUGCCCUGGCAACCACCAGCCUGCUCUCUGCUUCUCUGUAUUCGACUUUUUUAGACUCCACACAAAAGUGAGUUGUGCAGUUUUCUUCUUUCCUCACAGGAUUUUUUUUUUUUUAGGAGAGUGAAUAAGAUAACCGUUGAGGGAAGCCAGAUGGAUGUGAAGGAUUAUGAUAACAACCCAACGCCAGGGGGCGGAGGAGUCAAAUGGUGACCAGGGUGAGCAGAGAGGCUGCAGAGAAAGCUCGUUUCCAUUUCCUCUUCCUCCUUUAGGACCAGCUCGCUACUCCUUUCCACGGAAUCUGAGGAGCUGAGAUUCCUGGCCACGGAGAGUUGUCGCUUCCUGGGCUCACUCAGAGGUGAGGUGACGUUCCACGCUCGCUGUCAGUUUUGAAACAGGCAGUGUCACUGUGCUGCGGGUGUGACUUGGCCCGUCACAGCCCUCCUGCGUUAGGAAACAUGGUUUCUGAGCCAUCACUGUCGGGCUGCCUGAUGGCGAGGUGCCCAUCUGAGCGUGUCCCCUGUUGACAGCGCUUGACAAGCAUCGUGCCGGUCUUGCUUUUAGAUGCUGCACAGCAGGAGCUCUGGUCUGCAUAACGCGGCACGAUGAAGCGGAAAGAGUAUGGACAAGGGGGCAGAAAGCUGGGCUCUGCCACCCGCCAGCUAGGGGACCUUGAGCAAGUCGGCUUGCCCUUGCCGGUACGUAAACCAUCUCGUUGGGACAGUGCAACAAGAUGGUGCCUGGGAAAACGCUUUGUAAACUGAAGUCCUAGACCAAAUGAACAUCACGCCCCAGAUGUGACCUGAGCGAGCCCAAAACCUACAGGGAGGCUCCAAUGCAUCGAUCUCGACCCAGCUUCUACUUAGGAAAUGCGGUCCCAUCUUAGCAUCUCUGUCACAAUCUUAUUUCACAUUAGCUUGUGGCCCACUAAGACCCAUCCCCUACUGGCUUUUUUGAAUAUGGACUGUACCCUUUCAAGUAUCAUCCACUGUUUGUUUGGGCAACCGGUUUUUUGAAACUAGAGGUAGACUUUGUGUUAUUUUGCACUAGGUAAAUUCAAUCUCAUUGCUCUGGCCCAUCUACAUAGGCUGUUAAAAUGUUCCCAGGGGCCGGCCUGGUGGCGCAGCGGUUAAGUGCGCACAUUCCCCUUUGGCGGCCCGGGAUCCGCCGGUUUGGAUCCCGGGCGCGGACAUGGCACAGCUCAUCAAGCCAUGCUGUGGCAGGUGUCCCACAUAUAAAGCAGGGGAAGAUGGGCACAGAUGUUAGCUCAGGGCUAGUCUUCCUCAGCAAAAAAGGAGGAUUGGCAGAUGUUAGCUCAGGACUGAUCUUCCUUAAA
Long non-coding RNA from Equus caballus (horse), 2025 nucleotides. The record is from Ensembl. Lineage: Eukaryota; Metazoa; Chordata; Mammalia; Perissodactyla; Equidae.